CCUACGGGAGGCAGCAGUGGGGAAUAUUGCACAAUGGGCGCAAGUCUGAUGGAGCAACGCCGCGUGAGUGAAGAAGGGUUUCGGCUCGUAAAGCUCUUUUGUUAAAGAAGAACGUGGGUGAGAGUAACUGUUCACCCAUUGACGGUAUUUAACCAAAAAGCCACGGCUAACUACGUGCCAGCAGCCGCGGUAAUA
Molecule: ribosomal RNA, 195 nt
Filed under: uncultured bacterium
Lineage: Bacteria
Description: partial 16S ribosomal RNA
Rfam family: Bacterial small subunit ribosomal RNA
Source: RNAcentral